RNAcentral lists this ribosomal RNA (239 nucleotides) under uncultured bacterium. RNAcentral's name for it is "partial 16S ribosomal RNA". It matches the Rfam family "Bacterial small subunit ribosomal RNA", at positions 118 to 353 of the family's 1533-position model. The record is from RNAcentral.
UGAGGAACCUGCCUUGGAGAGGGGAAUAACACUCCGAAAGGAGUGCUAAUACCGCAUGAUGCAGUUGGGUCGCAUGGCUCUGACUGCCAAAGAUUUAUCGCUCUGAGAUGGCCUCGCGUCUGAUUAGCUAGUAGGCGGGGGUAACGGCCCACCUAGGCGACGAUCAGUAGCCGGACUGAGAGGUUGACCGGCCACAUUAGGACUGAGACACGGCCCAGACUCCUACGGGAGGCAGCAUG